Molecule: long non-coding RNA, 2013 nt
Filed under: Carassius auratus (goldfish)
Lineage: Eukaryota; Metazoa; Chordata; Actinopteri; Cypriniformes; Cyprinidae
Description: lncRNA (ENSCARG00000021941.1)
Source: RNAcentral
AUGAGAUGCAACCAAGCAUUUCGGGAGAGCUCCUUGCGACGAGCUCUCGACUUUGUUUUGCUUAAAAUAAAGUCUUUUCUUCUGAAAGAAAAAUCCCUGACUGAGUUUGAUCCUUGGGAGAACCGGCAAAAUACACCACAGAUUUGGCACCCCAGAUGGGACUGGAAAGGAGCAGAGUGGACGACUGCUUUUGAGCUGACUGAUGAGCAACACACACACAGUGGUGGCCACCAUAGAAUAAGUUUUCCAUUUACAGGUCACAGCAGUUCCAGUAAGACCAAGGAAUGCUUCGCUCCAUCAAAGAGAACCAGUAAGGGUGCAGAAAUGAUCUCAAGAGAGCCUUGCAUUAAUCAGCAAAACGGUUACAGAGUGACACCUGAGUUCACAUCUCUAACCUUAAAAUACGCCAACCAGCUUCAACAACUCCACACAGCAUGAAGUGAGGGAUGAAGGGCGUGCUAGUAACGACCCACCCUUGCCAACGAGGGAAAGACCAUUGCAACGACUCGCAAAGAGUCUCCCUGGUGAAGAUGGAACGAGAGAGUGAUGGGACUGCUACUGAGAUCAAAAUACUUGGGUGCAGAUAUGAGCCAACAAAUAGAAAAGAAAAAGUGGAAAGAGAAUGUUAAGUAAUGGUAGAUGAAGAAUUUGAAGGUUAUGAGAAGGGAAAUAUGGAUGUAGGAAGAUUUGAAGGGAAAAUAGAGCAACAAAUAGAAUGAAAGGAGCAAAAUAGAAAAGCUCAAGAUUUGUGAAUUGAAGAAGGAAAAGUAUGUGUUAUGUUUUGGGGAAAAUGCUGUAUUUAUAGAAGGGAGCAUUUAAUGAAGAACUGAUCAAAUUGAAAAGGCUAAGAAUGGUGAUAAAGAAAAUGUUGGAAAAGAUAAUAAAAUGUAAGACUGGUUUGAUUUACAGUUAGGAACAUGUGGAGCAUAGUUUAUAAUUAAAUAGGGAAAGUUUUUAGGAAUGGCAUUAAUGACAGGAUAUUUACUAUUUUACUGUAUACUUCCUAUAUUGAGGUCACUAGUCAAAGCCACAGUUAAGCAAAUUAAAUUCAAAGAUAUCAAAAUAAUGGGGAAUUGAUACAUAAGGUAUCUAAGCUGAAGUUCAACUCUUAUAAUCUUGUGAUAUUCAAUGUGUGAUGUGAUUUGUAUUUGUAUGUGUAUGUAUUUUUAUGCCUUUUAUACAAAACUGUGAUAACCAGGCAAAUGCUGAACCAAUUGCACAUUCAUGUUUUUAACAAUGUCUACUAUUAAAGAGGGGUUAGGGAGACUGGAUCUUUUACUCACUCCAUGUCAAAUUAGGAGGGAGAUGUUUGGUCCAGUAAUCCCUCAGAGUGGAAUUUCACAAUCUAGUCACUGGUGAUAAUACAAUGUGACUUAUUUAGUCACUAGGUAGUGUAAAUAAUAUGACUGGAUUAUGGAGUAGCACUCUGGAUAAGAAUAAUCAAAUGUGAGACUUAUUAAGUCUCAAAGGGGAGAAUAUGUGGAAGAUUUUUAUUUGUAAGAUUUUAAUCAAUCCAGAAUAAUCAAUGUGAAUCUAGCCAUUUUUGUUGCUAGUUGUUUUUCCAUUAUAAUCCUAUAGGAAAUGGAUAGAAAUAUGCUUACGUGCAGGAAUGUACAGGGCUAAUGAAUAACAUAUGGUUAGACAUACAUUAGGGACUUAGGUAAAGUGUAAUCUAAAGGAAAAGUUUUACCAUGUGGAACCGCCCUGUAUAGGGUAUAUAAUGAGAUGCAACCAAGCAUUUCGGGAGAGCUCCUUGCGACGAGCUCUCGACUUUGUUUUGCUUAAAAUAAAGUCUUUUCUUCUGAGAGAAAAAUCCCUGACUGAGUUUGAUCCUUGGGAGAACCGGCAAAAUACACCACAAUAUAAGCGUAGAUGCCAUUCUUCUAAUGAUGUAGCAAGUACAUCGGUGUAAUGGGAAGUGUACCCGGUUCAGGUUUACCUAAUUAAUACAGCCAAAAUGUAUCAGCUAAUUUAAAAAAAAUUGCAAAAAUUGAUCAAUCAUCUUCAGUCCUG